Non-coding RNA from Microcebus murinus (gray mouse lemur), 1898 nucleotides. The record is from RefSeq and is a predicted model, not a curated record. Lineage: Eukaryota; Metazoa; Chordata; Mammalia; Primates; Cheirogaleidae.
GGCCCCCGGAGAUAUGGAACCACAGGGAGGUGGCAAGCGGCCGUGUCCCAGCGCCCGACAUUUUCCACAUCAAUGGAAGAACCAGUGUGGAUAAGAAGCAACUACAAAAAAACCUACCGCUAACAUCAUGCUUAAUGGUGAGAGACUGAACACUUUCCUGCUGAGAUAGGAGCAAGGCAGGGAUGUCUGCUCUUACCACUCUCCUUCAGUAUAGUACUGGAAACUCUAGCCACUGCAAUAAGGCAAGAAGAAUGAAAAGGUAUUGAAUCCAAAAAAGUGUUCUAGGGAUGGAUGGUGGUGAUGGUUGUAUAACAGUAUAAACAUGUUGCUGAAUUGUACACUUAAAAAUGGUUAUAAUUGUAAUUUUUGUUAUGCAUAUUUUACCACAAUAAAAAAAAAAUCAUACACAAAAUGGCCCAAGAAGAAGCAGAAAGUUUAAAUAGUCUACCAUAGAAAAUAUUGGAAACAUGAUUAAAGAUGCAACCUUUAAAAAAAAUCACUAGGGCCAAAGGGUUUCACAUCUUUGUUUUAUGUUUUAACAACAGCAACAAAAUGCCAAUGUUGUUUAAACUAUUGUAAAGCACAGAACAAAAUGCAAAGCUGUAUUUGUUUUAUGAAGCCAGCCCAACAUUAAUACCAAAACCAGAUAAAUAUAAAUACGAAAGAACAAGAACCAUAGACUAAUUUCAAUGAUGAAUAUUGACACAAAAAUUCUUAAUAACAUUACCUAAUAGAAUACAGCAUUUAUCAGAAGAAAAAUACAGUGUGAACAAGUGGGUUUGUUCCAGGAAUGCAAGGAUGGUUUCAUAAUUUGUUGUACCAACAAAUUAAGGGAGAAAAACUCAUGAUAAUGUUAAUAGCUGCUGUGAAAAGGCAGUCAUUCUUAUUUUCUGGUUUUUAUUAGAAACUAGGAAAUAGAGAAGGGCAUUCGUUAUCUUCCAACCAUAGUCAUGCAUUGAACCACCAUGGGUUCUGUCAAUUUGUCAACCCAUUGAAAAUGUAGUCUAAGCAGUUACCUGUGAAGGGUGUGGGGGCUAUUAACUGAAGCCUUAUCACUGAGGGACAGUGCACUAUAGGAGCAGCUGAUUAAGUUGCUUGAAAUAUUUUGGUCCUUCUUGCUGGUGAACCUUUCUGGAAGCAAGCCCAGCCGUGGCAGUUACUGGGUCACAUCAAAAGAAAUUCUCUUAUUAGUCAAGCCUAAUCAUUAAGAAUAAUUCAUUUCUAACAACACACAUUUCAAAUCACCUCUCCAAAUUAUUUGUGAUUAUUGCUAUUUGACAGCCCAUCCCCAUAUCCUUGUGUUGAUUGGACUGUUGGCCCCAGUGCAGGAAUUACCAUCUGCCCCUUUGCAUUUCAUCUUUUUAAUAUCAUCCUAUUUUUCCAAUCUGAGGUUGUGUUGGAUCCUGAUUUCUGACAGCCAAGGAAUUUACUCCCUUGCUGCUGCUUGUCACCUGCUGUCUGAUUAAAAUGCCAGUAGACAAAACAAAUUUCCAACAAGGAAAGAAAGUUCUGAAAGCUUUUUAAACUAUAUAUUUUAAAAUGUAAAGUUUUAUUUUCUUAUUUUCCUUUGAUCAAUGGCAUCUUUUCUUCCCCAGGUUUUUUUUCCUGAAUGUCUUCAUCAAAUCAUAAGCCUGAGAAGGACUUAAAGUUUUCUGUCCCAAAUCCACAUCAGUCCAGGCCUUUGAAGCUCUCAGAGAAUAUUGUCUAUGAGAAGAGGCUCCUUAGGGGGCUUAGGAAAGUUGGUGAAGGGUCUUCUACCAUUUAAAACCCAAACAAGGGGCCGAGCAACCAAGAGUCCAGCAACUGCAGCUCCUUCACAAACAAGAUUUGAGAUCUUCAGAAAUCAUUUCACUGUUAGCCUUAUUAUUCUCUUUCAAAUUAAACUAUCAAAGACCCUU